UAUGAGCCAAUCGGAAGAUGUUACCGAUGAGAAAGGGGGGGCGUGGUUAACACCUCCCACCAAUGAAGGCGUAGAAAAACAAAAGGGAGGAAAAAGCGGCUUUUGAAAAGACCACCCAGUCAAAGACAGGGGGGUGGGGUCUGGGCACAGCUUGUGUUCAGACAGACAAGAAACAUCUGGAAGUGUUUAUAUAUAUAACUUGCCAGAGCCUAAACUCCAGAUGCCGACACACACACACACACUCACACAAUGAUGUCAUCCUCCAGCACAAAGGCCACAGAGCAGAAACUCCCCCCCGCCCCCCACCACCACAGUUUCCUGGAAGCUAAAAGUUGAGCAUUUGUUCCACAGAAGAGAUCUGAGCAGCCCUGCCACGUCGCUGAUCAGAGAGGACCCAGACAGCCCUCUUCCGCAGCUCCAGUUUACAGCCUGGGAGCUGCUAGUUUCUGCGGACGCUUGGAGAAUUCUAUUUCUUGGGAGAGAAGGAGGAGGACCUCAUUGCCCCCCCUUGUCUGCCCAGUGUUCAGACUACCUGUUCAUGAUGCUGUAGGUGUACAGUAGUCUGCACAUUGGUUAGGCUGGGAGGGACAGGCAGCGUGCAGCCACACCGACAGACUGAGGAAGCCCUGGACUUCACACACUCAACACUGCUGCACCAGGAGAGACUGAAAGAAACUGCAAUUCAACGACAAAGCGUCUCGAGCACAAGUCUCUAUCAAUAUUACCCAGGAGCGCGGAGUCCAGUCCAGACUGAUAAAGUCUCUCAGUGGUCUCGUCGUCACAAUCCUGUCCAAUGUUUACACUGGAAAUAAGAAUCCCUUUACACUGGGGUGUGUUCCACCAAUCUAAACAGAGCAGUACCGGCCCACUAGCAAGACUCACAAUGGACUGUUUAGCGAUAAGCCCUGCAGUGCGAGAGAGAUUCCUUAUACUACUUUCCGUUGCAACUCGAGGGAGGUUUUUAUUUUGAUGAUCGGAAGGGUGGUGGUAUGAACAUCAACUGAACGCAGUGUUGACUGUCCAGUUUGUUUAGAAUUUGUAACAUAAAACCGCCUUGCAUGUUCGUGAGUGUACUAAACAGAUAUUAAAAAAUGCAGAUGUGUGAAUUAUUAAAUAUGAAAAUGAACUGGAUUUCACCAGACUUUGCUAGUUAUUAUUUCCAAUAAUUAAACGUAUUCUUUUUAAAAUUCAA
Molecule: long non-coding RNA, 1192 nt
Organism: Polyodon spathula (Mississippi paddlefish)
Lineage: Eukaryota; Metazoa; Chordata; Actinopteri; Acipenseriformes; Polyodontidae
Exons: 2
Source: RefSeq, a predicted model, not a curated record